AGAGUUUGAUCCCUGGCUCACGAAGAACGGCUGCGGCACGGCUUAACACAUGCAAGUCGAACGGUUGUAGCAAUACAGCAGUGGCAGACGGGUGAGUAACACGUGGGAAACCGUUUCCUAGGGGUACGGAACAACUACAGGGAAACUUGAGCUAAUACCGUAUACGUCCGUGAGGAGAAAGAUUUAUCGCCCUUAGACGGGCCCGCGUAGGAUUAGGUAGUUGGUGAGGUAACGGCUCACCAAGCCUACGAUCCUUAGCUGAUCUGAGAGGAUGAUCAGCCACACUGGGACUGAGACACGGCCCAGACUCCUACGGGAGGCAGCAGUGGGGAAUCUUGGACAAUGGGCGCAAGCCUGAUCCAGCCAUGCCGCGUGAGUGAAGAAGGCCUUCGGGUUGUAAAGCUCUUUUACCAGGGACGAUAAUGACGGUACCUAGAGAAUAAGCCCCGGCAAACUUCGUG
RNAcentral lists this ribosomal RNA (461 nucleotides) under uncultured Hyphomicrobiales bacterium. RNAcentral describes it as "bacterial SSU rRNA". It matches the Rfam family "Bacterial small subunit ribosomal RNA", at positions 8 to 507 of the family's 1533-position model. Lineage: Bacteria; Pseudomonadati; Pseudomonadota; Alphaproteobacteria; Hyphomicrobiales. The record is from RNAcentral.